AAUUGAAUCAGAAACCCUAAUUCCCAAAUCCUAGAAACCCUAAUCCUAAUGUUUCCCUUUCCUCAGCCUCUGAAUGCAGCCUCCACCCCCUUUCUUCCUAAACACCACACACACACAAAAGAAGAAAAAAACGCAGAGAGAAAGAGCACGAAGAGCAGAGAAAAGAGAGAGGGAAGAGCUGCUGCCCCGCCGCCGCUGUGACCGUCGCACUGCCACCGUUCAACUCCGCUCGUGCUGCCGCGCGUUCCGUCACCAUCAGAGUCGUCGUCGCCAUUUGUGGAGCCAUGAGGAGCAUCACCGUCGAAGCCACGCCGAUCGUCGCAGCCCAGUCAUCGCUCUGCCUCGCACCAAGCCCGUUCCGCCACUGACGUCGCCGAAAGGAGAGCGACCACCAUGAGGAGCCACCGUUGUCCUUGCUCGUCAUCUCCCUUGGAACCGUCACCGUCGAGGACCAGCGGAGAGAGAGAACGCGCGACGUUCAGGAUGGAGGACGCGAGUCAGUGACGCAAGGAAGAGUGCAACCCACUGCGUGAAGUUGUGCCGCCGUGCCUUUCGUCGCCGUCGUGCCUUGGUGCCGUCGAAGGAGCCGCCGCUGGAAGAGGAGGGUUAGCUGGAUGCUACCAUCACUAACAUCACGGAAUAUACGCAGAGUAGAGGAAGAAAGGAUCUUCACCAUGCCAGGUUGUCAUGCUGUGAUCAGAAGCUGUUGCCGUCAGAAAGCUCAUCUGCGGUAAGAGAGAGAGUUCACGAAGGUUGGAACCAUUGUCCUUUGCUUAGCCACUGUUUCUGCUACUGUUUACGUUGGCUCAGCCAUUACCGCCACUGGAGCUGCCCGGAAACCCUGUUGAUGCUUCUCCGUUAUUUUAUUAGUGAAGAAUGAAUCGGAAAUAAUGCUGCUGCCAUUGAUCGGAGAUGCCAAACUAUUGCUGCUACUACUUUGAAAUGAUAUGGCUGCUAUUAAGGUUGUUGUUCAUGAGUGCAGCAUUCCCAAUUUCUAUGGAUUUCGACACCUUGAGUGACACAGGUUCGAAGACACAGUUUGAAGCUGCGGGUGAUUAUAGAAUUUAUUUAAG
This is a non-coding RNA of Arachis ipaensis, 1073 nucleotides long. NCBI's taxonomy places the organism in Eukaryota, Viridiplantae, Streptophyta, Magnoliopsida, Fabales, Fabaceae. The record is from RefSeq and is a predicted model, not a curated record.